UACGUAGGGUGCAAGCGUUGUCCGGAAUUAUUGGGCGUAAAGAGCUUGUAGGCGGUUUGUCGCGUCUGCUGUGAAAUUUCGGGGCUCAACCCCGAACUUGCAGUGGGUACGGGCAGACUAGAGUGUGGUAGGGGAGACUGGAAUUCCUGGUGUAGCGGUGAAAUGCGCAGAUAUCAGGAGGAACACCGAUGGCGAAGGCAGGUCUCUGGGCAUUACCUGACGCUGAGGAGCGAAAGUGUGGGGAGCGAACAGG
This 253-nucleotide ribosomal RNA is filed under the name uncultured bacterium. RNAcentral describes it as "partial 16S ribosomal RNA". It matches the Rfam family "Bacterial small subunit ribosomal RNA", at positions 524 to 776 of the family's 1533-position model. The record is from RNAcentral.